CGCAGCUCCCGUUUCCCGUGGAUACCUUUCGGAGCCGUUUUAGAGAAAGUGAAACCGUUUAUUAAUUGGAAAGAAUUAGCCGCUUCUGUUCGGGUAGGUUUUUUUCCACCGCCUUCCGGUGCAUUAAAGAAAAACGCAAUUGCCGAAACCCGGGAUCGAACCAGGGACCUUUAGAUCUUCAGUCUAACGCUCUCCCAACUGAGCUAUUUCGGCUGCUGAUAGGUCAGCCUUUUGUGUAGGUCCUCCUGGUCGUGGUGCCGGCCCUGGGUCUUCCACCCUGGACAUCCGCCCCGGAAAGUCCCAAGAUCAGCCGGAACUCACGUCAUCCAGACUCUCGAGCCUCUAACUCCUUCUUGUCCUUCAAGGCGACCGCCUCCGAGAAGCCCUCCGGGAUCACGCCUCCCAACCCGACCCCAGCCUCUUCCUGUUACGUUAGGAAAAAAGUCACCCCCCAGGUGCAACUCUCCAAGCAGCCUGAGGUGUGACAGGGAUGCUGACCGCAUCAAGGCGUGUGGGGGCCGCACCAGCCAGACGGUGACUUUCCUUGGGGGCAGCGAGGGACUCAGAUCCGGGCUCCGAGCGUGGCCACCAUACCUGUGGCAGUUGCUCAACUUCAAGGCCUGAAGAGGUCACCAGGGUUGUGACCCCUGCUCAGAGAUCACUGGAACAGAUACCCUGGAAAGGUUUGAAAUUCUGCGAGAACCACCAGGAUGUUGGAAAAACGGCCCGACCGACUGGCGUGACGCAGGACUGCGACGGAUCUUAAUUUGUAAAGAACGCCGCUUCUGUGAAGCACGAUUCAGCAAACGAGUGCUGGUCCCCUCACGACCCACGGAUGGCGUGACCCUCAGCCUGCAAACACUGCCCAAGAGCAAGUUCGGCAGGCGCAGAGAAUCCUCUACGUGGAGAACACGCGCGUGCCCAGCCGCACAGCGCGGUAGGUGAGGGCAGAGGCGGAGACGACCCCAAACAAAUGGGCCUUCGACCACACGCGCCGACACGGACAAGGCCUUUGCACUUGCUGUUCCGGCUCCCCGUGUAGAAGUCCUCCCUCACUCCACUCAAAUGUCACCCAUCAGGGACUCUGCCAGCUCCCUCCACCCUCGUUCCCUCACUAUGCUCCGCCGAGUGCAGAACACGGCCUAGAGGACAGUAUGGGACACAGUCUGCACUGAGAGCAGCCACAAGCACACAGUGCCUACAGGGAGGAGGCCGACAGUUUAGAUUUGAGACAGAGCAAGAGGAGGAGGGGC
Long non-coding RNA from Suricata suricatta (meerkat), 1253 nucleotides. RefSeq lists it as uncharacterized. The transcript has 7 exons. Lineage: Eukaryota; Metazoa; Chordata; Mammalia; Carnivora; Herpestidae. The record is from RefSeq and is a predicted model, not a curated record.